Molecule: ribosomal RNA, 440 nt
Filed under: uncultured bacterium
Lineage: Bacteria
Description: partial 16S ribosomal RNA
Rfam family: Bacterial small subunit ribosomal RNA
Source: RNAcentral
CCUACGGGUGGCAGCAGUGGGGAAUAUUGCACAAUGGGGGAAACCCUGAUGCAGCGACGCCGCGUGAGUGAAGAAGUAAUUCGUUAUGUAAAGCUCUAUCAGCAGGGAAGAAAAUGACGGUACUUGAGUAAGAAGCACCGGCUAACUACGUGCCAGCAGCCGCGGUAAUACGUAGGGGGCAAGCGUUAGCCGGAUUUACGGGGUGAAAAGGGAGCGGAGACGGCAGGGCAAGUCUGGAGUGAAAGGCGGGGGCUCAACCCCGGGACUGCUCUGGAUACUGUACGGCUUGAGUGCAGGAGAGGGAAGUGGAAUUCCUAGUGUAGCGGUGAAAUGCGUAGAGAUUAGGAGGAACACCAGUGGCGAAGGCGACUAUCUGGAACAUAACUGACGCUGAGGAGCGAAAGCGUGGGUAGCAAACAGGAUUAGAUACCCUGGUAGUC